GACUCCGUGGCCUCAUUCUCUUAUCUAUUGUGGUUCUCCAAUCUAGGCCGAGGGGCUAGGGUUUCUUCAGACAAUCAGGGCCCAAGGUUAAGAUUUCUCUAGAAAUUCAAGGCUCGAGUUUAUGAUUUGCUAGAGAAAAUUUUGCUUCUGUCUUGUUCUAGGAAUUCAUUUUUACAUUCGCAACUAUGUCGACGAUGCUAGCUUCCUGAGAAUUACUAGCACAGUUUGGGUUUAGGGCUUUUCGAUGGCCAAUCGGCUUCGCAGGCCACCGUCAAUGGAGACAAUACACUCACGAGAUCUACGAUGUCGUCCAUUGGGAUCGGAAGAGGAUGUGUUUUUGCUUAGGGAAACACAUCGAGAAUGUACGAGAUCCCGAUGGUGCCGUCCGAGGGUUCCUCAUUCUUGGCGUGAUGAUAGACUUGUGUUAAUAAGGGUGAGCAUCUUUGCCCUAUUCUUUUGUUCACACCUUUUUCUUGUAUUAAUUCUAGGGUUCCUUUGCAUGAUAGAAGAACGCUUACGCGGUGAUACCUGAUUGGCUUUAAAUCUAAUAGUUGUAGAAAUAAUAGCAUUUAAACAAUAAAUGAAGUUUAUGAAGUGGAGUCAAAUUAGGGUUUUUCAAUGUAGGUGUGCAUCAGACGCAUUUUUUAUAGAUUUGGGAUCGGAGAGAGCAGAGAGCGUUAUUUUGACCACCAACUUCAUAUCCUCCCUUAUUUUGAGGACAAGAAAUUGGUGGUGAAAAGGGUGAGCACUAAUGUGUUUUCCUUUUCUAUUUUUCUGUUUAUAUUUCCAACUUUAUCUCGAUCAAGAGUGAAAAAAAUGGGAAAAAGGAGAAAAACCUUUUUUUCAUUAUCUACAUCUCAAGUGUAGUUAAAUUUCUGCUGAGUCCAAAUUUAAGUUUCUUUGAGCCCAUUGUACAAACUAUGUAUUUUUUAAAGAGGUUUUGAUUUUGCAUUUUCUUUUGUAACUUGUGUUUGAAAAAACGUAUGAAUCUGGACGUUUCAAGGAAAUUCACUUUCUAAAUCCUUUAUUGCAAAGGAUGCUCCAAUAAAUUUCUCAUACAGGCACGUUUAUUUUAUACUACCACCACUUGUUCCUGUUUCCUUACAAUUUGUAGAAUGAUCUUAUGUCUGCUCUUUAAGCCUUAUGAUAGUUUCUUAUGUCUUAAACUUUAAAGCAUAACAAGAUGUGGUACUUCUGUAGAAUUUUGUGACAAGCCCGUGGGAAGGAAGAGAGAAGCCAUAGUAAAAGGACCUUCAUCCUUCCAUUCAUAUUUUUCCCCUCUCUCUCUCUCUCUCUCUCUCUCUCUCACACACACACACACACAUGCAGACAGUGACAUUUCAAUACAUAUAGGACUUUGUAAAAAUAUUCAAUUUAUCAUUUAAGAUUAAAUCAUACCAUUAUUUAUAUAGGAUAUUAACCCUGCUUUCCUUAAGCAUUUCAUUCAACUUCCUAGAGUUUGUUAGGGGCAACUGAAGAACCUCUGGGUUUGAGUUAUUCAAAUAGAUCCUAUCUUAUGUGGCGCCAAUGGGUAACCCAUUGCCCUACCUGCUUUACAAGUGGUGCCACAACACAGGGACAAGUAUGAUUUGAUGGAAGUGUAAUUUCCAAAAUUCAUAUGAAUGACAAAAAAAAAAACGAUGAUCUCUUUGCAUUGCAGGCUCCCUAAUA
Long non-coding RNA from Prunus avium (sweet cherry), 1671 nucleotides. RefSeq lists it as uncharacterized. The record is from RefSeq and is a predicted model, not a curated record. NCBI's taxonomy places the organism in Eukaryota, Viridiplantae, Streptophyta, Magnoliopsida, Rosales, Rosaceae.